Molecule: long non-coding RNA, 10804 nt
Filed under: Podarcis lilfordi (Lilford's wall lizard)
Lineage: Eukaryota; Metazoa; Chordata; Lepidosauria; Squamata; Lacertidae
Source: RNAcentral
CAUUAUUAUACAUGUGCCCAUUUAUUUUCUUGCAGUACUUUAGAGAAGCCUUUUCAGUAAUGUUGAAUCAGAGCAAAGCAAUCUAGUGUAUUCUGCAGCAGGCCUGUAGCAUACUGUUUUGAAAAAGGCACUCCUAUAUUAAAUUAUAUACAACACAAAUAUUGUUUUAUAAUACUGCCAUGUUUAGUUCCACGUUUGGUCUUUUGUAACUUCUGAAGGAGCAUCAUCAGAGACACCGGAAUAUCGUGGAAGGGUGUUUUAUACCAUACACUAUCUACAAAUUCACUCUUUCCACCUUAACAUUCACCAUCGUAAUCUUAACUGAAAAACAGAACAAGCUAGCAUGUUUGGGUAUCAGGUAUUUUCCCCCCUAUAAAAACACACUGGAGAGCUUUAUUGUUGUUUAGCAACAAUGUAAAAAAUACUUGCAAAAAGUAUUCAAACGUCUGCUAUUUUGAAGAUAUUCAAACCCUGCUAGACCCACUUGUUUUGUCAUUUAGCUAUUUUUAAAAGUAUUUUUAUACCGCCCUCUUGCAAAACAUCAAGGUUUCUUUGGCUAUGUUUGAAGCAAGAGGAAGAACAAGCAAGUAGUAGGUCCUCUGCAUGGGGAAAACGUAGAAAUGCUAUUGGACGAAAGAGAGAAAGGGGAACUGCUCUACCUCCUCUAUUUUUUACAUCAUAAAACCCUGCAUAGAUUUUUAAGGGUAUAGUAUAUACAUAUUUGUUCUCUAAAACCCACACAGAAAAUGGAUGGACUUUAGUCCUGUCAUGUGAUGAACUGGCCUGAAACUAAUUUUGUCCUUGAGUUCACCUCUAGGUAUAGCUUCUAUUCCUUGCAUAGACAAGAGAAAACCAUAGGUUAGCAUAAAAAAGAGAGAGAAAUAGCUACUUUGUCUUAAUGUUUUGAAAGAGAACACAAGGUAAGUCAAACAACUGAGUUCAAGGCCAGAGAUCAUGUCACUGCAGCAAUACAAAAUUCAAUUGGGCACUUGUUGGCCUCCAUUCUUCCUCUGGUCAAACAGUGAACUGGUACUCAUUAUCGAAAGUUUAUUCAGAUCUAUAUUGCUAUGCAUUAAAAAAUGGAAUAAAGACCAUCUAUUUUUAACAAGAAAAAAUGUUUGGAAUUCAAUGGUGAAUUGAACAUAAGGGCUUUGUAGGAUUACAGUGGCCUCUUUGUACUUGAUGGAAGACCAUUGAAAAAUGCAAUGGAGAAUGAACAGAAGUCCAUUUGCUUCUCAUUGCAGAUAAACCAGAGAUUUAUCAGGGAUGUGAUCAAUGCCUAGCUUAGUGAGAAUAAUCCCAUUUUUCUUAUUCGAUACAGCAUGCAUAAUGAAUUAAAGACUUAAAAACUGCACUUUUACAACUCAAAAAAUGGGGGGAAUGCAUUUAAAGAGAGGGGCAUUAAAUCCAUUCAUGAUCAUAAUAUUAAUGUUGUGUUUGUUACAGGUCUGGUUUUUCUAGGGAUGUUUCCUUCAUAAUCAUAAGAUAUCCAAAUGGAUUAGAGCAGUACAGAAAAUAACUAAAGAUGUGGAUUCUAAUAUAUUUGGGUUCUGCUCCAUCCAGCUGAUGUUAUUUCGAGGGGGUUGCUCAAGACUUCUGAAGAUUAAGCAACAACUCUAGAAACUCAGGGAUCCAGCAAAUCUGCAGAAACAGAGACAGAGUAUUGUGGCAUUAAACUGAACCCAAGAAUACUUUUUGUUUAGGGAAACCUGGCAUGUCAGGAAAUGGCGUAGUGGGAUGGAGCUGCAAGCUGACCUGUCAAUACCGCUGCUUCUGCAUCUUACCUGAACAAGUGCUGGGCCAAGCCAAAGCAGCAGAAAAGUUGGCUCUGUAUGGAUGCAUCAGAGGAGGCAAACUGGCGCUCCUGCCAGCACUUCUGCACAAUCCCAACAUCAGUGUUAUUGAUGGGUAGUAGCCACCCAUGCUGUGUUCUACCUUCUCUGUCAAAUAUAAAAGGUAAAGGUAAAGGACCCCUGACAGUUAAGUCCAGUCACAGACAACUCUGGGGUUGCGGCGCUCAUCUCGCUUUACUGGCCGAGGGAGCCAACGUUUGUCCGCAGACAGUUUUUCCAGGUCAUGUGGCCAGCAUGACUAAGCCGCUUCUGGCGAAACCAGAGCAGCGCAAGGAAACACCGUUUACCUUCCUGCUGGAGCGGUACCUAUUUAUCUACUUGCAUUUUUGGUGUGCUUUCAAACUGCUAGGUUGGCAGGAGCAGGGACCGAGCAACGGGAGCUCACCCCACUGCAGGGAUUCAAACCACCGACCUUCUGAUCAGCAAGCCCAAGAGGCUCAGUGGUUUAGACCACAGUGCCACCCUGUCAAAUAUAGUAUGCCACUAAGUAUCAGUUGCUGAGGAAGAUGGCUGGUGCACACUGGUUUUGUUUGUGGGCUUCCCACAGGAAUCUUGUUGGCCACUGUGAGAACAGGAUGCUACAGUAGAUGGGCCUUUGAUCUGAUCUAGAAUGCUUUUCUUAUGCUUCAGUGAUAUUUGGCUUUCUUAUUGCCUGAUACAGUUAAUUAAUAUCAAAACCAGCUGUUCUAUUUCUCUUUUCUGCUGCAAAGACUCUUAAAGGCUGCUGUCUGUAGCUGUUUUCCUAUAUUUAUUUCUAUUGUUUUAUACAUGUAUGUCAUAUAUUUUUAUUUUUAUUUUAGAAAUUGAUUUCCUCCCCUUCCCCCCAUUCUCACAGCCUAUUUAUAAUGCAUGGGGCGACAGAACAACACAUAAAUAACUUUGCUUAUAGAGAUCAGCCUUGGAUUCUAAUUGUUACUUCUUGUUUCCCCAUUUAAAAAAAAAGUUUAUUCCUGUAAAUUUCACUAUUAUGAAAUAUUCCUGAAAUAAAAUUGUAUACUAUAUCAUAUAUUGUUAAGCAAAUGUCAGAUUAUAGCAUACUGAGAAUAUCCAUAGUUCUCUUCUUCUUUUGUGGAAGACUAUCAGUUUUGAUGGAAAAUGUGGAUUGUUUGCAUUCUCCCUAAGCCAUUUGUAACAUGUAUUUUUGUUCUUGUUUACCAAUUUCCAUCUAGUUCCUCCCAUACCCUGUGGAACAUUCUGCUCCUUCACCCACUAAACAGAGAGAAGCACAAGAAGCUACCUAUCGUUAAUAAAUUCUCUAUUUCAAUACAUCAGUAAGCCCUUUUUUAUGCCUUAAUACAAGAGAGACUGCUCUGGUGGAAACUCUUUACUGCCGUGUAUUUUCUUGUUAAUGGCUUCAAAGUAAUAUGAACCGCAGCAUGGGUUUAAUUCCUGAAUGCAGUGCUAAAAUAGCCUGGCAGUAUUUUAGAGUAAACUUGCUGCAUUUAACCAAUGGGUCUCUAAGGACUGUAGGGAGUAAAAUGUAAUAUGCUUCUGAAAGGUAUAAAUCAAGGUCCCUAGUUAUAUGCUUUCAAAUGUGUAUUUGACAUUGUGUGGGUCAACUGACGCUUAACAGGCAAUUUGUAGCUCUGUUAGAAGCUGUGUACAUAGUUCCACUUUUCGUCUUCUCAAUAUUUUGUAUUCAUAAUGAAACUUAGGGUCCCCCCCGCCCGGUAAAUAAAUGGGACUUUAACCUGAAGUGAUCCCAACUUCAGUUUAAGGACAUGCAAAUCCCUCACAAGGUGAAAUAGGUUUCUUUUCAGCUCCAGCAUUUAUACUUCAAAUGAAAAACCCACGUAGCCUAGAAAAAAUUGCAAUGUCUCCCAAUUAAGAUGUAUUUAUGGAAGAGAAGGUAUUGCGAGUGACUAUUAAGUUAGUGGUAAAAAUUGUUUGCAGUGAUGUCUGAUGGGUGAACAUUUUUGAGUAAUGUUGCUACUCUGGUUUAGGUUGGGGCCAGGAUGACACCAUGCAGGGCCAGUGCAAGGAUAGACAACUAGUUGGCAGGUAGAGUGCCCUCCGCUCCUGGUCUCUUUGGAUCCAGAAAGACAAAGCAUGUCAAGACUUGCCCACCCUCCCUAUGGGAUUCACCAGUUGUCCAUUAGGCUGAGUGUAUGCUAUUCUCACAUUCAGCACAAGGGGAACACCCUUUUCCCCACCUUCUGCAUGCUGUUAAAGCAGGCAGGGUUGCAAUAUUUAUUGAUGUGGUUAUUUGGUUGCAUGAAACAUUACUUGGGUCACAACAUGGGUAGGCAAACUAAGGCCCAGAGGCCCAAUCACCUUCUAAAUCUGGCCCACAGACGGUCUGGGAAUCAGUGUGUUUUACAUGAGUAGAAUGUGUCCUUUUAUUUAAAAUGCAUCUCUGGGUUAUUUGUGGGUCAUAGGAAUUCGUUCAUUAUUUUUUUCAAAAUAAUAGUCCGGGCCCCCACAAGGUCUGAGGGACAGUGGAUCGGCCCAUGGCUGAAAAAGGUUGCUGACCCCUGGAUCACAACUUUGGACAAGAUACUUCCAGCUGUGCAGCCUGUUACAUCCUCUAUUGACCUUUGUCCAUCCUGGCUGGUUCAUGCAAGCUAAGGAGGGUUCACUGGGGGGAACCACGGUGUAUGGGGAACACAGUGUUGCAUGAUGAGGCAAUACUUGGAGGUUGAGAUGUGGCCACAUCUGGAAAGAAACAACAUGAACCCAGAGAUUUAUGCCAACUACCAUGCAGUCACCAGUACACCUUUUUGGGGUUAGGGUCAUUGGCUCAACUGCAGGUCCUCUUGGAUCAAACUUGACUCAUCCCAGUCUGAGUUCAGGCCCAGUUUUGAGAUACAGUGAGCAUAUCUGACAACUGGAUUUCCAUUAGAUUGAUAAAGAAUAAAAUGGGGAAACCAUACCAGUAGAAAACCAGUAGAAAAUAUACAUGGAAAUUCAAUCAGUAAGAAUAGAGAGGAAAGGUAACAGCUCCAUCACAAAAAAGGGAUCUGGUUUGGGUUUCAGUCAUGCUUUGGGACAUGUUCAGGGCAGAAAUAAAAUAAAAUAAUGAUGAGGUCUUCUGAUGAAGAACAUUGUGUAACUUGUUUUUACAGUUUAUGUCAGACUUGCUAAGACCAGGCAGUGUGCUGACACAGAAGACAAAAACAGUAGUGAAAACAGAAAAAAAAAUCUGCACGCAGAAUGCAGGUCUCAUUGUCUGAUGCAAAGCUACCCCUCAGUCAUUGUGAACUGUUAAGCCCAGUCGCUUGUUUACGUGCUCUCUAUUGUUUUCGUAUUGGUGUAUUAUUAUUAUUUUUAAUAUGGCAGGCUCACGUAGAAUUGAUUUAAGCCUGCAGUCUGUGGAACAAGAGAGAUGUUGCCUGAGUCCUCAGCUUGAAAGCUUCAUGCAGUAUCAAAUUUGGGCCUAGGUGGACGCAAACCCUCCAGGUGUCCCUAUUUCCAGGGACAGUCCCAGAUUUACAGAAGCCAUCUCAGUUUCUGAUUUGAUCCCAUAAUGUUCUGCUUUUCCUUAGGACCCCUGUUUUCAUUGGAGAAAUGCUGGAGGUUAUAGAUUUAUGCGACCCCCCAGCCAGGGAGAUAAGAUACAACCUUUAGAAGGCAGCCCUGUAUAGAGUUUUUUAAAAUGUUUAAUUUUUUAAUGCUUUUUUAUGUAUGUUGGAAGCUGCCCAGAGUGACUGGGCAACCCAGUCAGAUUGGUGGGGUAUAAAUGUUGUUGUUGUGAAAUAGAAUGUCCCCAUUUUCCUCAGAGAAAUGUUGGCGUGUACAUGGACUUUGCAGUACUUUGCUCAAUCAGGGAUCUUCUGAAGAUGUUUGUGCAUUUGGCAAAAGAACAGAGUAGCUGUCUCUUUCCAUGAAGGAAGACAAUGGUUCUGGCACACUGUCACAACCUAUCUUUAGUUGGGGUUUUGUAUUGUUUAAAAACCUAUCUUUAGUUGUUUUUAAUUGCAUGGCUGUAAACCAUCUUGAGGCAUAUGUGAGUGGUGAUUCAAACAGUAGCAAAAUAAUACUAAGACUAUUAAUAAUAAUGAAUUAGGAUGCUAUAAAGCUGGCAUGGGAACCUCAGGCCUAAGGACCAGACGCAGCCCUCGUGUUCUCCUUAUCCAGCCCUGGGGGAGAUCUUACUUGGGUAAAAUUAUCUGCAUAUAGGAACCCCUUUUGCACCAUUGUUGAAUGCAUAGAGGUUUUGGAAAGUGGAACAGGACAGCAAGCACAAACCUGUUCCCCAAUUAUUCAAUCAAUGCUUGCAAGCCAUAUCUGAAAUUGCCUCAGAAUGAAGCAAAUAUUUGAUUUUGGCCCCACUUCAUGCAUUGUCUGUGUUUUCUACCCAGCCAUUUGUAUGAAAUAGUGUCCUUAUGGCUCAGCUGAUGCAUAUGAGCACUGACAGGUGUCCACGUGCUUUGGGUUUCCAACAACCUUGUCUAUAGUCCCAAUUGGCUUUCCAUCCGAGCCAUCCUGACUACAAUUCCCAUCAGCCCUAGCUUGAAUGGCCAAUGGUAAGGGUUGAUGGGAGUUGUAGUCCAGCAACAUCCAAAGGGCACCAUGUUGGGUAGCUAUGAUCUAUGCAAUGAGCAGGGGCCAAGCGCUUUGAUCAAGUGUUCAGUCUGCAUUGCAACAGGUGCCUUCAAGACAUUUUUCUUAAUACGAUUAACCAGAACAUUGAUUAUAUUUUCUCUCCUAAUUUUAUUAGCAUCGCCUUCUGCUCUCUAGCCUCUGAAGAGGAAUUCUACUAUUUAUUGACAAAUUCAGCUGAUUCAAUAUCUAACAUACUAAUGAUCCUAAAAAUGUUUUCCUGGAAAUUGGGCUCCCCUGAGUCCAAUACAACUUACAUCUUGGAGUGCAGUUAUAUGGUGUAAAGAGGUAAGACAAAUGCAGUCAAAAGCUGUGGGAAGCCAAGUAAGCAUUUCAAAUGCCUGCUAAGUUAUCCUUUGAGGUCUUGCUUCCAAAUAGAGAAAAGAUGGGCACUCUGACUCUCCUGGGGAAGCUGUUAAAGGCCUGUAGGAUGUGAUUUAUUUGCACAGGUCUGAUGAAUGGCGUGAAAUCAAAUGACUUCAGUGAGGAAAUGAUAAACUAUCUGGAGAAUAAUGCAGCUUGAAACCUAAACAUAUGUUUAUAGUUGCUGUUCUGGGCUGAUAGCCAAGAGGGCAUUUUGCUUAGCAAGCUGGGUUAAUAUAAGUCAUACUUUCCCAAAAGCAACGCAUACAAAACAAAAAGGGCCCCGCAUUUAAUAUAGGGAGUAGACAUAUAUUAGUUUCUCUUGGUUGUGGGAAAGACCAGGUACCAAAGGGUAAAUAGCCAUACAAUUAGAACUUCAGUUCUUAAUGCAAAGAAAUAAAUCAAGUCUAUAAUAAAUAAAUUGCUCAAAGGUAACAAUUUAUUAACACACUAAUAUAUGUGAAACAAUUUGAUUGCCUGAAAUAUACUGUAUAAAUUAUUAUUAUUUAUAUUGUAAUUCACUAAAAGGCAGUCUUUGCCAAAGUGGUGCCCUCCAGGGUUUUUGGACCACAGCUCCCAUCAGCCCCAGCCAUAAGGGGAUUUUGGGUGCUGGUGACCAAGUUGCUGGUUCUGGCCAUGAAUGGCUGAGUUUGGGGGUUUUUUAAGUUGCUUGCUGACACAUGCCUUUACAUAUUUCACUUAUGGGAAUAUGGACAUUUCAGUCUGUGAUUUCUGCAUGGAGAAAGCCCCAGUAAAACAACAGAAAGGAAGUGAAAGUUUCUGAGUAACUACUUAAUGUAUACAAACAAACAGCAUGUUCGGCUAUAUGCAUAAAUGAUUACAACUCCUUUGAAAGGGUGAAUGUGUAUCUGCUAAAGCGUGAUACAGAAAGUUCUGCCAGUAUAUUGAAAUAAAAAUGUAACUGAGAUAACGGCUGCCAAAACCCGAGGAUUUGUCCAUCUUUAACAGUCAUGUCCCUGGAAUGCUGGUGUCUUGUGCUCUGUGGUCUGGUCAAUAUACUCCAACCCACGUUUUCCAUAUAUUGUUACAAGUUACACAAUCCUGCUAUAAAUCAUUUUUCAGGUCCAGCUGAACGCAGGCCAUGAGGGAAGCUGAUCACAGACAUGCUCUUGCUGCGUCUCGGCCAGCAUCCAUGGUAGGAAUAUUUAAACACAUGAGCAUCUGGGAUGUUUAAGACAGGUAAGAGCUUGCAUCGUGUCCUGCGUUACAAUUAAAUCAGCAGCGUUUUCACUGUCUUGGGGAGGAUACAUUCUGAGUGUUCUCCAUUUUUCAAACACAACAAUGAAUGCGGAAGAACUGUGCACACUUGCAUCUGUAGCUACAGGGAAUUGCAGCUGCCAUGCCCUGAACUGUGAGCGUGCACAGAAGAAAACAUACCAGGUUUCAGGGUCUUGGGUCUUGGCUGGUGCCCACAAGGAGGCAUUUUGUGUUAUUCUACAAAGCAUGGCACCCUCAGACUCCUGCUUUCUAAGGAAACGUCCAAAUGUAAAUUUCCUGGAAUGCUUGGCAUGGAGUGCCUGGAACUAGUUUAGUGUGUUGCGCUAUGUGGGAUGCAAGGAGCAUGGGUCAGUGAAAUUGAAGUAGCUGUAGGAGAAUGUUUGGUUAUUUCAGAAAAGAAGCCCAGCCAACAUUGUUGUAAAACGGAGUCUAGAACAGCAGCAUGAUUCACAGUCUAUAGUUGAAAUAGCAGUGUAACAGUGAACUCUGCAUCACAAGGGCAAUAUUUUCCAUAGGCCUUAGGAAGGGUUUGCGUGUCGAGGUCCCCAAGCCACCCCCCAAUAACUCACACAUCACACAUCAAUUUUGGUUUGGGUUUUUGGCACAAUUUUGGCCACAACUUUAUUUAAAUACAUCCGAGUGAGUGGUUGCUUAGGCAUUGGUUCAGACUAUCUGUCCUUGCCCAGGGGACAGAACUGACUUCUGGAUCCCAGCAAAAGCCAGUGCGGGAAACAAAUUUUGGGGAGAAAAUGAAGCUGGGCCUCAGUUCCUCACUUCUCCCCUCAUGCUCCUGGUGGCUUGCACGGCCCAAGUCCGAUGCCAGGGACAAGGACAAAAAGAAUGGCAAGCCCCUGGAUUCCUUUAACGGAAUUCCCUUUCCGCACACCAUUGGAGGGGUAGGCACUUACCCCUCCACCAAACAAUUUGAACCAAUGCCUAACCGCCAACCUUACAAGUUGUGACGAUUUGCUACGCAGUAGGCAAAACCAAAUGGCACCAGCCAAUCAGCCAGAUGGACAAAUUCCUUCCAGGCCCCUGCCUCAAAGCAGACGACCCCAUGACAGGCAUAGCAAGGUCAAGCAAACACCCCCCCCCCCAAUACAGUGAGGGUGGGCGGGUGAUCCAGUGCAAGCAGCCAAGAGAACGCUCAAAGUUGGGCAUCCAGUAUUUAAAACCCCUGACCCCUCCUUCAAAAUUGGCAACAAGCAGUUCUCCCCAGCGACCCAAUUAACCAAUUCACUGCCUGGGUCCCUCCAUAAAUCCGCCCAGCAACAAUGAGGUGGCUUGUAUCCCCCACCACAACACGUGCUCUCUGCUAGGGAGAACACUUUUUCCAUACAAUAUAAGGAGUUUUAGGAACAUGCCUAUUGAAAAUGGCCCCAUGCUUUGUAGGAUAAUCCUAAAUACUACACUGUCACUACAGGCCAAGGUGUGUGGAAUGUCACAUGGAAGCAGCCCACACCAGCUGUGCUCAGCUCACACUAGAUCUGUAGUGUUGGGAUUUACAUUAUAGAAGGCUGAAUGUAUUGAUACGAGUGUGUGCUGCCUUAUUUUAGAGGAGUGUAUUAAUAAAGCAAUGUAAAGACAAUUUUAAUUUGCCUCUUUUUUUGGCGGGCGGGCGGGGGGUUAAAUAAGCAUUUUUCUUGGUAUCUUUAGCUGUUUGAAAGAAACCAAAGUGGGUUUUUCAUUGAGGCAAUGGUAUGACAGGGUCUGGAAAAUUGCCUUUGUUGGGAAACUAGCAAAAAUGGAAAUUGGCAAGAGGGGAAAGAGUGAUAUUUAUCUCUAUGUAUUAAUCCAAGGUUAAGAGAUAUCUAGCCUCCAGUUUCUCAAAGAUCCUUGUGGAGAGUUUCCCUCUCAUAGAUGGAGCUUAUUGUUACUUGAUGGAAUGUUUUAAUCAUUUGAGCUUGUCUAUGCAGAUUGCUGUUUUCCCAAGACUUUGUACUUCCUGUUCUUAAAAAAAAAAGAUCAUUGGUGGUUGCAAUUUUCACAAAAUGUUAUAAAUAUAGAUACAGAAAUGUGUUCAAGUCUUUUCAGCUAACUUUGAAAUGGUAUGUGCACUUUUGCCAAUUUUCCCUACAGACGCUUGCUUGCAUCCUCUGAAGAUCUCUUCCGAAUGACUGGGAGACUGAUUGAAACCGGCGAAGUGAAGCUGCUGGAGGAGGAGAAAGUCAGCAAAAACAGCCUCCUCCCUUUUGCACUACUUAAAACUCCUCCAUGGGAUCAAAAACAUUCUGUGGGUAGAUGGAGCCUUUCUGUUCAUGAAAGUUUAUAUCUGAAUCCAACUCAAGGAAUAAAGUCAGACUCAAAUCUUACUACAAAUGCAAUAACUUUUUAGACAGAAGUUUUACUUUUCCUGGAAGUAAGCUACAUUGAAAAAUUCCUAAACAGACAGACAUAGAAAGCUGCUGUAAGAAUGUACAGUGGUACCUCGGGUUACAGACGCUUCAGGUUACAGAUGCUUCAGGUUACAGACUCCGCUAACCCGGAAAGUAGUACCUCGGGUUAAGAACUUUGCUUCAGGAUGAGAACAAAAAUCGUGCUCCAGUAGCACAAUGGCAGCGGCAGGCCCCAUUAGCUAAAGUGGUACCUCAGAUUAAGAACAGUUUCAGGUUAAGAACAGACCUCCAGAACAAAUUAAGUUCUUAAGCCGAGGUACCACUGUAUUCUUUUUUAUUAUAAUAAUUUCUAUUAAUUUUAAUACAUUUCCAAUAAAAGCCACAUUGUCACAUUACCGUAUUACAAUCCAGUUAAAAAAAAGAGAGCCAAUUAUUCAAAAACCAAAUUAAUCCAUCUGAAAUGACUUACGG